Molecule: ribosomal RNA, 540 nt
Filed under: uncultured bacterium
Lineage: Bacteria
Description: bacterial SSU rRNA
Rfam family: Bacterial small subunit ribosomal RNA
Source: RNAcentral
ACACAUGCAAGUCGAGGGGCAGCGCGGGAUAGCAAUAUCCUGGCGGCGACCGGCGGAAGGGUGCGUAACGCGUGAGCGACAUGCCCGUUGCCCGGGGACAACCGGUGGAAACGCCGACUAAUCCUCGAUGGGAUACGAUGCUUCAUGGCAUUGUAUUGAAAGUUACGGCGGCGACGGAUUGGCUCGCGUCCGAUUAGCUUGUUGGCGGGGUAACGGCCCACCAAGGCUACGAUCGGUAGGGGUUCUGAGAGGAAGGCCCCCCACAAUGGGACUGAGACACGGCCCAUACUCCUACGGGAGGCAGCAGUGAGGAAUAUUGGUCAAUGGGCGGAAGCCUGAACCAGCCAUGCCGCGUGCGGGAAGGAGGCCCUAUGGGCUGUGAACCGCUUUUGCCUGGGGGCAAUAAGGGCGUCGCGCACGCCCGAUGAGAGUACCAGGCGAAUAAGCAUCGGCUAACUCCGUGCCAGCAGCCGCGGUAAUACGGGGGAUGCGAGCGUUAUCCGGAUUCAUUGGGUUUAAAGGGUGCGUAGGCUGUGCGUC